UGGGGAAUAUUGCGCAAUGGGCGAAAGCCUGACGCAGCAACGCCGCGUGAGGGAUGACGGCCUUCGGGUUGUAAACCUCUUUCAGCAGGGACGAAGCGAAAGUGACUGUACCUGCAGAAGAAGCGCCGGCUAACUACGUGCCAGCAGCCGCGGUAAUACGUAGGGCGCAAGCGUUGUCCGGAUUUAUUGGGCGUAAAGAGCUCGUAGGCGGUUUGUCGCGUCGGAUGUGAAAACCCGGAACUCAACUCCGGGCCUGCAUUCGAUACGGGCAGACUUGAGUACUGCAGGGGAGACUGGAAUUCCUGGUGUAGCGGUGGAAUGCGCAGAUAUCAGGAGGAACACCGGUGGCGAAGGCGGGUCUCUGGGCAGAAACUGACGCUGAGGAGCGAAAGCGUGGGGAGCGAACA
This 407-nucleotide ribosomal RNA is filed under the name uncultured bacterium. Its description in RNAcentral is "bacterial SSU rRNA". It matches the Rfam family "Bacterial small subunit ribosomal RNA", at positions 355 to 774 of the family's 1533-position model. The record is from RNAcentral.